This 406-nucleotide ribosomal RNA is filed under the name uncultured bacterium. Its description in RNAcentral is "partial 16S ribosomal RNA". It matches the Rfam family "Bacterial small subunit ribosomal RNA", at positions 30 to 526 of the family's 1533-position model. The record is from RNAcentral.
AUUGAACGCUGGCGGCAGGCCUAACACAUGCAAGUCGAACGAGUGGCGGACGGGUGUGUAAUGUCUGGGAAACUGCCUGAUGGAGGGGGAUAACUUCUGGAAACGGUAGCUAAUACCGCAUACCAUCGGAUGUGCCCAGAUGGGAUUGGCUAGUAGGUGGGGUAAAGGCUCACCUAGGCGACGACCCGUAACUGGUCUGAGAGGAUGAUCGGUCACACGGGAACUGAGACACGGUCCAGACUCUGACGGGAGGCAGCAGUGGGGAAUAUUGGAAAAUGGGCGAAAGCCUGAUCCAGCCAUGCGGCGUGUGGGAAGAGGGUCUUCGGAUUGUAAAGCACUUUAAGUUGGGAGGCGUUACCAACAGAGUAAGCACCGGCUAACUUCGUGCCAGCAGCCGCGGUAAUAC